GUAGGUUCACCAACAUAGGCAUAAAUAUUUUCCCAAUGCACAACAAAAUAAUAGGUUCACCAAUACAUAGGCAUGAAUAUUUUUCCGAUAGCACAAAUAAUACUAGGUUCGCCAACACAUAGGCAUGAAUAUUGUUCCGAUAGCACAACAUAAUACUAGGUUCGCCAACACAUAGGCAUAAAUAUUGUUCGAUAGCAUAGAACAUAAGCAAAUAUUAUCAAUAGAUAAGAUGGAACAAACUAGUUCCCAUACUUGAGGUCAAACCUCCUACGCAACCAACCCUUUUGAGAGUCAGCUGUCAUGUGCAGGAACAUCUCCCUUUGCUCCCUCUUUAUAAAGAGCUCAGUAGCAAUGAAGUGCUCAUCUGUGCCUUCUAUUGCGCUGCAAGCACGAACUAAAUCCAUCGUAGAGGCAACAGAGGUGGUCUCAUCUUUCUGUAGGAAAGACUGAAACGAUGUGUGUGAAGCAUGGGCAAUGGAACUAAUCUUUCUAAUCUCCUCCUGCAUCACUUGUGCGGUCUUCGGUCUCUUGUUCUUCUCCGAAAUCGUGAUCCCAAGCCUCACUUUAGAUCCACUAGCUAUUGUCGGAGAUGCUUGCUCCUCGGUAUCAUCCUCCAAAUCCAGACCAGUGAUUCCAUCGACAUUCAAGGCGUCUUUUAAUGCUGCACUAGAGGGGGGAGGCAUGCCAGAUGCGGGGUUCCAAUGGUCACUACCAUCGACACUGAUAUCCUCAAACAAUAGGCGCAAGCCUUCUUCAUUACGAAGUCCAUGCUUCUUGAACUUGCCACAACCUGGG
This 795-nucleotide long non-coding RNA is filed under the name Triticum aestivum (bread wheat). Its description in RNAcentral is "long non-coding RNA (TAES_LNC006261)". Lineage: Eukaryota; Viridiplantae; Streptophyta; Magnoliopsida; Poales; Poaceae. The record is from RNAcentral.